Molecule: ribosomal RNA, 438 nt
Filed under: uncultured bacterium
Lineage: Bacteria
Description: bacterial SSU rRNA
Rfam family: Bacterial small subunit ribosomal RNA
Source: RNAcentral
GGAAUUGGAUUCAGGCCUAACACAUGCAAGUCGAGGGGUAGAGGAAGCUUGUUUCCUUGAGACCGGCGCACGGGUGCGUAACGCGUAUGCAAUCUACCUUGUACAGGGGGAUAGCCCAGAGAAAUUUGGAUUAAUACCCCAUAGUAUUAUUGAAUGGCAUCAUUUGAUUAUUAAAGUUCCAACGGUACAAGAUGAGCAUGCGUCCCAUUAGCUAGUUGGUGUGGUAACGGCACACAAAGGCGACGAUGGGUAGGGGUCCUGAGAGGGAGAUCCCCCACACUGGUACUGAGACACGGACCAGACUCCUACGGGAGGCAGCAGUGAGGAAUAUUGGUCAAUGGGCGCAAGCCUGAACCAGCCAUGCCGCGUGCAGGAUGACGGUCCUAUGGAUUAAAGGUGCUUUUGUACAGGAAGAAACACUCCCUCGUGAGGGAGCUG